GAUGAACGCUGACAGAAUGCUUAACACAUGCAAGUCAACUUGGUGGCGGACGGGUGAGUAACGCGUAAAGAACUUGCCUCACAGCUAGGGACAACAUUUGGAAACGAUAGCUAAUACCGCAUACUACCAGAUGGACCUGCGUUGUAUUAGCUAGUUGGAGAGGUAACGGCUCACCAAGGCGAUGAUGGGUAGCCGGCCUGAGAGGGUGAUCGGCCACAAGGGGACUGAGACACGGCCCUUACUCCUACGGGAGGCAGCAGUGGGAAAUAUUGGACAAUGGACCAAAGUCUGAUCCAGCAAUUCUGUGUGCACGAUGAAGUUUUUCGGAAUGUAAAGUGCUUUCAGUUGGGAAGCGGUACCAACAGAAGAAGUGACGGCUAAAUACGUGCCAGCAGCCGCGGUAAUUC
Molecule: ribosomal RNA, 407 nt
Filed under: uncultured bacterium
Lineage: Bacteria
Description: partial 16S ribosomal RNA
Rfam family: Bacterial small subunit ribosomal RNA
Source: RNAcentral